GAUGAAGAACGUAGCGAAAUGCGAUAAGUAAUGUGAAUUGCAGAAUUCAGUGAAUCAUCGAAUCUUUGAACGCACAUUGCGCCCAUUAGUAUUCUAGUGGGCAUGCCUGUUCGAGCGUCAUUUCAACCCUUAAGCCUCUGUUGCUUAGCGUUGGAGCCUACCUACCCGGUAGAUCCUCAAAGUUAGCUGGCAGGGUCGAGGUUCGCCCUAAGCGUAGUAGUUCUUUCUCGCUUCUGCGGCUGCCUAGGCCAUCGCCACAAGCCUUUUAAACUUCAAUGGUUGACCUCGGAUCAGGUAGGAAUACCCGCUGAACUUAAGCAUAUCAAUAAGCGGAGGA
This 337-nucleotide unclassified non-coding RNA is filed under the name soil metagenome. RNAcentral describes it as "partial contains 5.8S ribosomal RNA, internal transcribed spacer 2, and large subunit ribosomal RNA". The stretch from base 1 to 120 matches the Rfam family "5.8S ribosomal RNA", at positions 35 to 154 of the family's 154-position model. The record is from RNAcentral.